GACGAACGCUGGCGGCGUGCCUAAUACAUGCAAGUCGAGCGAAUGGAUUAAGAGCUUGCUCUUAUGAAAUUAGCGGCGGACGGGUGAGUAACACGUGGGUAACCUGCCCAUAAGACUGGGAUAACUCCGGGAAACCGGGGCUAAUACCGGAUAAUAUUUUGAACUGCAUGGUUCAAAAUUGAAAGGCGGCUUCGGCUGUCACUUAUGGAUGGACCCGCGUCGCAUUAGCUAGUUGGUGAGGUAACGGCUCACCAAGGCAACGAUGCGUAGCCGACCUGGGAGGGUGAUCGGCCACACUGGGACUGAGACACGGCCCAGACUCCUACGGGAGGCAGCAGUAGGGAAUCUUCCGCAAUGGACGAAAGUCUGACGGAGCAACGCCGCGUGAGUGAUGAAGGCUUUCGGGUCGUAAAACUCUGUUGUUAGGGAAGAACAAGUGCUAGUUGAAUAAGCUGGCACCUUGACGGUACCUAACCAGAAAGCCACGGCUAACUACGUGCCAGCAGCCGCAGUAA
Molecule: ribosomal RNA, 515 nt
Filed under: uncultured bacterium
Lineage: Bacteria
Description: partial 16S ribosomal RNA
Rfam family: Bacterial small subunit ribosomal RNA
Source: RNAcentral